RNAcentral lists this ribosomal RNA (801 nucleotides) under uncultured bacterium. RNAcentral's name for it is "bacterial SSU rRNA". It matches the Rfam family "Bacterial small subunit ribosomal RNA", at positions 8 to 806 of the family's 1533-position model. The record is from RNAcentral.
AGAGUUUGAUCAUGGCUCAGGAUGAACGCUGGCGGCGUGCUUAACACAUGCAAGUCGAACGAAGCACUCUAUUUGAUUUUCUUCGGAAAUGAAGAUUUUGUGACUGAGUGGCGGACGGGUGAGUAUACGCGUGGGUAACCUGCCUCAUACAGGGGGAUAACAGUUGGAAACGACUGCUAAUACCGCAUAAGCGCACGGUAUCGCAUGGUACAGUGUGAAAAACUCCGGUGGUAUGAGAUGGACCCGCGUCUGAUUAGCCAGUUGGUGGGGUAACGGCCUACCAAAGCAACGAUCAGUAGCCGACCUGAGAGGGUGACCGGCCACAUUGGGACUGAGACACGGCCCAAACUCCUACGGGAGGCAGCAGUGGGGAAUAUUGCACAAUGGGGGAAACCCUGAUGCAGCGACGCCGCGUGAACGAAGAAGUAUUUCGGUAUGUAAAGUUCUAUCAGCAGGGAAGAUAAUGACGGUACCUGACUAAGAAGCACCGGCUAAAUACGUGCCAGCAGCCGCGGUAAUACGUAUGGUGCAAGCGUUAUCCGGAUUUACUGGGUGUAAAGGGAGCGCAGGCGGUGCGGCAAGUCUGAUGUGAAAGCCCGGGGCUCAACCCCGGUACUGCAUUGGAAACUGUCGUACUAGAGUGUCGGAGGGGUAAGUGGAAUUCCUAGUGUAGCGGUGAAAUGCGUAGAUAUUAGGAGGAACACCAGUGGCGAAGGCGGCUUACUGGACGAUAACUGACGCUGAGGCUCGAAAGCGUGGGGAGCAAACAGGAUUAGAUACCCUGGUAGUCCACGCCGUAAA